Molecule: long non-coding RNA, 294 nt
Filed under: Parus major (Great Tit)
Lineage: Eukaryota; Metazoa; Chordata; Aves; Passeriformes; Paridae
Description: lncRNA (ENSPMJG00000012701.1)
Source: RNAcentral
AAAUGUGCUUUUAGGCAGCUACAGUGAAAACAAAGAAACUGGAGGAAAAUGCUGAAGCAGUGAGACUAGCACAUAUGGAAUGUAAAUACACGACAGAAAUCAUGCAGUUAAGAAUUCAAGAACUUGAAGAUGCUUUGAAUGAAGAGCAAGGUGGCAGGAGAGAAGCUUUUUCAGUGGUAGCACAGAAAGAUUUCAGAGAGUCAAAAAAUGCACAUGAGAGAGGAAAAAAAGAACACCUUUCAUCCUCAAAUGCCAAGUGGAGAGAAGGGGCUGAGGACAGGAAGGAAACUGAAG